This 778-nucleotide ribosomal RNA is filed under the name Micrococcus sp. 8-C-237-2. Its description in RNAcentral is "bacterial SSU rRNA". It matches the Rfam family "Bacterial small subunit ribosomal RNA", at positions 87 to 877 of the family's 1533-position model. Lineage: Bacteria; Bacillati; Actinomycetota; Actinomycetes; Micrococcales; Micrococcaceae. The record is from RNAcentral. RNAcentral also lists the same sequence under 1 other name.
GUGGAUUAGUGGCGAACGGGUGAGUAACACGUGAGUAACCUGCCCUUAACUCUGGGAUAAGCCUGGGAAACUGGGUCUAAUACCGGAUAGGAGCGCCUACCGCAUGGUGGGUGUUGGAAAGAUUUAUCGGUUUUGGAUGGACUCGCGGCCUAUCAGCUUGUUGGUGAGGUAAUGGCUCACCAAGGCGACGACGGGUAGCCGGCCUGAGAGGGUGACCGGCCACACUGGGACUGAGACACGGCCCAGACUCCUACGGGAGGCAGCAGUGGGGAAUAUUGCACAAUGGGCGCAAGCCUGAUGCAGCGACGCCGCGUGAGGGAUGACGGCCUUCGGGUUGUAAACCUCUUUCAGUAGGGAAGAAGCGAAAGUGACGGUACCUGCAGAAGAAGCACCGGCUAACUACGUGCCAGCAGCCGCGGUAAUACGUAGGGUGCGAGCGUUAUCCGGAAUUAUUGGGCGUAAAGAGCUCGUAGGCGGUUUGUCGCGUCUGUCGUGAAAGUCCGGGGCUUAACCCCGGAUCUGCGGUGGGUACGGGCAGACUAGAGUGCAGUAGGGGAGACUGGAAUUCCUGGUGUAGCGGUGGAAUGCGCAGAUAUCAGGAGGAACACCGAUGGCGAAGGCAGGUCUCUGGGCUGUAACUGACGCUGAGGAGCGAAAGCAUGGGGAGCGAACAGGAUUAGAUACCCUGGUAGUCCAUGCCGUAAACGUUGGGCACUAGGUGUGGGGACCAUUCCACGGUUUCCGCGCCGCAGCUAACGCAUUAAGUGCCCCGCCUGGG